Paramuricea clavata is the source of this 996-nucleotide non-coding RNA. The record is from the annotation of a GenBank genome assembly. NCBI's taxonomy places the organism in Eukaryota, Metazoa, Cnidaria, Anthozoa, Malacalcyonacea, Plexauridae.
CUGAAAUAUGCUAUAAAUUAGAACGUUUAUAAACUAACUCCGUCUUUCAACUUAGAUAUCUCAAAUCUAACGGUUCUUUCUGCUUACGCUAACUUGCGUGAUCUUUGUUCUACACACAAUUCAUAACUGUCAAAAUGUAAACAACUUUACUUAAAUAUCAAAUAUAACACUAUUUUACACUGCUUUCCUCUCUAAAAAAGGGACACGUCCUCGUGUCGGAAUUAAAAUUCAAAUAACCCAAUGUCAUUAAUUAUUCGCAUAGGGUUUUAGACGAUUAAAGUUCACCACUCUUCUAUUUCGACCAACGACCAACUGAACACGAUACGAUAAACGGAAUCAGAUAACCGUUUCACGACACGAUAAGGUCCAGACCAUGCGUGGUAUAGUUUCUUUGACUUCGUUUUCGCUGAGCAAUGCGUGUACAGCCAAACCCGAUCUUCUUUUUCAUAAGGAUUUCCGGACGUGCGCUCAUUGUAAUACUCCCGUUGUUUCUUCCGCACAACUUUCAUCCGCUGUCGAACAUCUUUAUAUGCCUUUUCUAAGUUUUCCAACUUUUCUGUUCCACAUAAAUAUUCAUCGACUUCUCACUCUCCGUUUCUCCAAACAUUAUGUCCAACGGAAGUCGCACCUCUCUUCCAAACGUAAUGAAAUAUGGGGUUUGCCGCCUUGAUUCCUGGAUACUAGAACGAUACGCCAACAUGACCAGUUGUAGACACUCAUCCCAGUUCUUUUGAUUUUCAUUCACAUACCUUGAUAACAUCGCUUCCAGCGUUUAACCAGACCAUCGGAUUGAGGGUGGUAGGGUGAUGCUCUCGUUUUAUGGAUUUGUAACAACUCGCAAAUUUCUUGAAUCAACCACACUGGUACCCUGGGUGCCAGAGGUUCUUCCAUGCUCGUAGGGGGGGGGGGGAUGAUAAUGAGGGAUACACGAGGAUUCAAGCCGGGCGGCGAUCGGGAAGAACCUCUGGAACACUUCUAUGGCUUUUACUGUUUUAA